Molecule: ribosomal RNA, 456 nt
Filed under: Cadophora sp. Di106-1
Lineage: Eukaryota; Fungi; Ascomycota; Leotiomycetes; Helotiales; Ploettnerulaceae
Description: eukaryotic LSU rRNA
Rfam family: 5.8S ribosomal RNA (bases 157-310)
Source: RNAcentral
CGCGUGAUGUCAGCAAUACCUAGGUAACCCUUGAAUAAACUACCCUUGUUGCUUUGGCGGGCCGCCCCUCGUGGCCAGCGGCUUCGGCUGCUGCGCGCCCGCCAGAGGACCACAACUCUUGUUUUUAGUGAUGUCUGAGUACUAUAUAAUAGUUAAAACUUUCAACAACGGAUCUCUUGGUUCUGGCAUCGAUGAAGAACGCAGCGAAAUGCGAUAAGUAAUGUGAAUUGCAGAAUUCAGUGAAUCAUCGAAUCUUUGAACGCACAUUGCGCCCUUUGGUAUUCCGAAGGGCAUGCCUGUUCGAGCGUCAUUAUAACCACUCAAGCCUUCGCUUGGUAUUGGGGUUCGCGGUUUCGCGGCCCCUAAAAUCAGUGGCGGUGCCUGUCGGCUCUACGCGUAGUAAUACUCCUCGCGUCUGGGUUCCGGUAGGUUGCUUGCCAGCAACCCCUAAAUUUU